UACGAAGGGGGCUAGCGUUGUUCGGAAUUACUGGGCGUAAAGCGCGUGUAGGCGGGUCUUUAAGUCAGGGGUGAAAUGCCAAGGCUCAACCUUGGAACUGCCUUUGAUACUGGAGAUCUUGAGUCCGGGAGAGGUGAGUGGAACUGCGAGUGUAGAGGUGAAAUUCGUAGAUAUUCGCAAGAACACCAGUGGCGAAGGCGGCUCACUGGCCCGGUACUGACGCUGAGAUGCGAAAGCGUGGGGAGCAAACAGG
Molecule: ribosomal RNA, 253 nt
Filed under: uncultured bacterium
Lineage: Bacteria
Description: partial 16S ribosomal RNA
Rfam family: Bacterial small subunit ribosomal RNA
Source: RNAcentral